CCUACGGGUGGCUGCAGUGGGGAAUAUUGGACAAUGGGCGAAAGCCUGAUCCAGCCAUGCCGCGUGUGUGAAGAAGGCCUUCGGGUUGUAAAGCACUUUCAGUGGGGAAGAAAGCCUUGGGGCUAAUACCCUCGAGGAAGGACAUCACCCACAGAAGAAGCACCGGCUAACUCCGUGCCAGCAGCCGCGGUAAUACGGAGGGUGCGAGCGUUAAUCGGAAUUACUGGGCGUAAAGCGCGCGUAGGCGGUCUGAUAAGCCGGUUGUGAAAGCCCCGGGCUCAACCUGGGAACGGCAUCCGGAACUGUCAGGCUAGAGUGCAGGAGAGGAAGGUAGAAUUCCAGGUGUAGCGGUGAAAUGCGUAGAGAUCGGGAGGAAUACCAGUGGCGAAGGCGGCCUUCUGGAAUGACACUGACGCUGAGGUGCGAAAGCGUGGGUAGCAAACAGGAUUAGAUACCCGAGUAGUC
RNAcentral lists this ribosomal RNA (465 nucleotides) under Vreelandella stevensii. RNAcentral's name for it is "partial 16S ribosomal RNA". It matches the Rfam family "Bacterial small subunit ribosomal RNA", at positions 338 to 795 of the family's 1533-position model. The record is from RNAcentral. Lineage: Bacteria; Pseudomonadati; Pseudomonadota; Gammaproteobacteria; Oceanospirillales; Halomonadaceae.